RNAcentral lists this ribosomal RNA (799 nucleotides) under uncultured bacterium. Its description in RNAcentral is "bacterial SSU rRNA". It matches the Rfam family "Bacterial small subunit ribosomal RNA", at positions 8 to 796 of the family's 1533-position model. The record is from RNAcentral.
AGAGUUUGAUCAUGGCUCAGGACGAACGCUGGCGGCGUGCUUUAGGGAUGCGAGUCGAGCGGUCUUUUUUACAAACUGAUGUUUCGCAAGAAAUUGAAGCGAGUUUUAAAGAUAGCGGCAGACGACUGAGUAACACGUAGACAACCUACCUCUUACACAGGGAUAGCCACGCGAAAGUGUGGGUAAUACCUGAUAGCCCAUAUAGGUGAAAUUCCGGUAUGGUAAAGGCGUAAGCCGGGAAGAGAGGGGUCUGCGGCCCAUCAGCUAGUUGGCGGGAUAACAGCCCACCAAGGCUAGGACGGGUAGGGGGCGUGAGAGCGCGACCCCCCAGGAUGGCACUGAGACACGGGCCAUACUCCUACGGGAGGCAGCACUCGGGAAUUUUCCACAAUGGACGAAAGUCUGAUGGAGCGACGCCGCGUGAAGGAUGAAGGUUUUCGGAUCGUAAACUUCUUUUGCCAAGGAAUAGGAAGGAAGGUACUUGGCGAAUAAGGGGCUGCUAACUGCGUGCCAGAAGCAUCGGUGAUACGUGGGCCCCAAGCGUUGUCCGGAUUUAUUGGGCGUAAAGCGAACGUAGGCGGUUCGGUAGAUUUCUUUUCAAAGACCUCGGCUCAACCGAGGGAAGGGAGGAAAUAUCACCAAACUAGAAAUAAGCAGGGGAGAUCGGAACGCGUGGUGGAGCGGUGAAAUGUGUUGAUAUCACGCGGAACGCCGGUGACGAAGGUUGAUCUCUGGGCUUUAUUUGACGCUCAUGUUCGAAAGCUAGGGGAGCGAAACGGAUUAGAUACCCUAGUAGUCC